Molecule: long non-coding RNA, 1694 nt
Filed under: Scleropages formosus (Asian bonytongue)
Lineage: Eukaryota; Metazoa; Chordata; Actinopteri; Osteoglossiformes; Osteoglossidae
Description: lncRNA (ENSSFOG00015027524.1)
Source: RNAcentral
AAGCAGAUGGCGGCUGACCUUUGAGCGGCUCCCGGUCCAAAGCGAUGAACCUCGGGGGCGGGGCCACGGAACUCUCGAAACAGACCUGCAGAUAUAACAUAUUCCGCCUUUAACAGCGUCCUACAGCUGCCAAAAUGCUGCUGUCCACACAUUAGCAGGAACACGAGAACUCGGCACAAGAGCCGCUGCAACGAGCACCAUGUGAAAAAUGUGGCCUGGAAGUGAUUCGAUAUUGAAGCAAAAUAAAAAGUGAUUGCGGUUCAUUUGGGGUCCGGCGGAAAGGAGGUUUUACAGAGCAGCGGUACGGUUCUGACCGGUGCAGUGAGUGACGCGCUGCACCGACACGUGAAAGCGGUACAAAUAACGGGCACAACAGCAGACAACUGACAACCACAUCCUGUCAAAAUCGUAAUAAUUAUUGAUGCCGACGCACGUGCCGGUACUUCUUGUACCGCUUUCAAAUUUGCUGCUCGUUUCAUAUCUGCGCCGAACAUUUCCUGUGGAAACGAAUCCCCGUCGCACACUGUUGGAUGGCCCUGCAGCAGAACUCCUCGAACCGUGGGCAGGCUCCCCAGGCGGGGCUCUCGUCCCCCGUGAUCUCGGAGCGCUUCUCCUCGGGGACCAACUGAGGCCGGAGGCGAAGAGCAGAACCUCGACGCUCCAAUUAGCGCUUUGCGCACCGAACGCACGGACGAGGGAUCGAGGGACCCGAGGCUCCGCUGCCAGGAAGCGUAAUGACACACCGCUAGAAAAAUGAUGUCCUUCUUGACGGCGUAGCGGACAGGCCGACCCGUCUCGCAAGUCGUUCCCUGUUGAACAAACAUCGCAUCCCUCGUUGCUGAUUGGCUGACGAGGCCAAGGGGGCGUGGCUUCUCAGAGCGGUGCGACGACCCCGGAGCUGGAGAUGCGCCGAAGGGCUGCAGGAAUCAGGACUACUGUUUAACCGCACAUUUUACAGUUGUGCGUUUGCGCUGUUAAAAAUUGAUCAAAAGAGUGUAAAUGUACUGUAGUAACGGUAAAGGGACUGCGUUUCAAACGGAAAUGGCCAAGUUUGUACAGCACCCACCUUCAUUAUUUGUAUUAUUCUUAUUCUCACCAUGUUUGGUCUUUGACUCCUUAAACCUGUCCUGUGUAUGUUCACUGUUAGCUGUACUAUAUGGACUGUACCGUGUUACUGUACUGCACUCACUGUACUGUACAGAGGGUAAUUACUGUGGUACAUUAACUGUACUGUAUGGACUGUUGCGUUCAGUACAUUUACAUUUACAUUUACAUUUAUUUAUUUAGGAGACACUUUUCUCCAAAGCGACUUCCAAUGAACUCUAUGUAGUGUUAUCAGCCCACACACCUUAUUCACUGUGGGAGGAAACCAGAGCACUCGAAGGUAUAGCGACUGUACCGCAUGGGUUCUUCUGUCUCGACUCUACUGACUGUACUGUAUUUACUCUACUGACUGGUGUAUCGACUGUACUGCGCCGACUGUCAGUGUAAUGUACUUUCAUGCCAACAUGAAAAUAUGUAUUUUAUUUUAAUCCAUAUUAACACUGAGCCAAAGAAAGGAAUGUGAUGUAUUUCUAUUUAUUGGUUUCAUAAACAGCGUAGAUAUGACAAUUUUAGACCGUUUGAAUUUUCUCCGUCCAGAAAGAGAGAAAAAGCAGCAGUCCACCCACAAUCCACCCACAAUGCACCACGGU